This is a long non-coding RNA of Dioscorea cayenensis subsp. rotundata (Guinea yam), 243 nucleotides long. RefSeq lists it as uncharacterized. NCBI's taxonomy places the organism in Eukaryota, Viridiplantae, Streptophyta, Magnoliopsida, Dioscoreales, Dioscoreaceae. The transcript is spliced from 3 exons. The record is from RefSeq and is a predicted model, not a curated record.
AUGAGGUUUCCAAAGAGGCCAGCAUGUAUACCUUGUAGGUGGUAGAGUGUUGACUAGUUUCCUAGAUGAAUGUACAAAAUUCCAUCACUUGAAGCAACUAUGUUUAAGAUCAUCAAGGAGAUGUUGCCACCUGAUGUUCGUGUUGCAAGAGAUGCUCAGGAUCUUAUUGUUGAGUGUUGUGUGGAAUUCAUCAAUCUACGCUUUCUUCAGAGUCUAAUGAAGUUUGCAGCUCGAGAGGAUAAA